UACAAAAUUAGACCAGUGAAUAUCUUCUGCAUGAUCAAGAUAUGCAGAAGGGCCUAAUAAAUAAGUAGAAAACGGAAGAAAUCUUUCUGAUCUUCUGCAUGAUGGCUGGUAAUGUAACUAAUGAGUUUUUUUUUUUUUUCUAAAUUUAAAGCAGACGAUUGUAUUUAAAACAGAAUAUACUGCUAGAAAUAUUUGUUGAGCUUGUUAAAGACUUUUGAGAUCAUCGAAACUGUUACGAAGAAAGUUGAUAGGACAAAAAAUUCUUUUGUACUUGGACGAAUUUACGUCUUUGAAUGGGCGGCUGACCAUUCAAGCGGCUGAUGAAAUAAACAUUUAAAGCACAUUGGAAAGGAACGGCACUACUGGAAAGAAAAGGAAAAUGCACUUACGGACGCCCCCCCCAAAAAAAAUUUUUCCAUUACAUUAGUUUUUGUGCUUGAAGCUUCAAAGAUCAAUUUUGCUGAAAAGUUAUGAGGAGGAACCUUAUGGAUGGGCAUAACUUAGCACCAAACAUGAACACUGGUGUGAAAUCUAACUAGAUGGAGGCAUCCUGAUGAAAGCUGUAACUUAAUAUUAUACACAAAAUAGACAUUCAUGGAAAGAGAGCAAACAGUUGCAGAAAAAAAAGUCAAGGGCUGCAUGUGGCAAUUUUGACAUGCCUCAUGAACACAAACCAGAUUCUACAGGAAUAUACAGUGCGGUGAGCGAGAUCAGACACAUUGCCCUUAUCUCAAGUAUGAGAAGGUUCGAGUAUUUGUGUAGAAGUUUGACUGUUUUAAUGAAUAAUUUUGUUAAUAAAGUUGUGUUUCAGCAA
Molecule: long non-coding RNA, 814 nt
Organism: Stegodyphus dumicola
Lineage: Eukaryota; Metazoa; Arthropoda; Arachnida; Araneae; Eresidae
Source: RefSeq, a predicted model, not a curated record